RNAcentral lists this ribosomal RNA (505 nucleotides) under uncultured bacterium. RNAcentral describes it as "partial 16S ribosomal RNA". It matches the Rfam family "Bacterial small subunit ribosomal RNA", at positions 30 to 523 of the family's 1533-position model. The record is from RNAcentral.
AUUGAACGCUGGCGGUAGGCCUAACACAUGCAGGUCGAACGGCAGCACAGGAGAGCUUGCUCUCUGGGUGGCGAGUGGCGGACGGGUGAGGAAUACAUCGGAAUCUACUUUUUCGUGGGGGAUAACGUAGGGAAACUUACGCUCAUACCGCAUACGACCUACGGGUGAAAGCAGGGGAUCUUCGGACCUUGAGCGAUUUAGUGCGCCGAUGUCGGAGUAGCUAGUUGGCGGGGUAAAGGACCACCAAGGCGACGAUCCGUAGCUGGUCUGAGAGGAUGAUCAGCCACACUGGAACUGAGACACGGUCCAGACUCCUACGGGAGGCAGCAGUGGGGAAUAUUGACAAUGGGCGCAAGCCUGAUCCAGCCAUACCGCGUGGGUGAAGAAGGCCUUCGGGUUGUAAAGCCCUUUUGUUGGGAAAGAAAUCCAGCUGGUUAAUACCCGGUUGGGAUGACGGUACCCAAAGAAUAAGCACCGGCUAGCUUCGUGCCAGCCGCCGCCGUAA